This 460-nucleotide ribosomal RNA is filed under the name uncultured Filimonas sp. RNAcentral's name for it is "bacterial SSU rRNA". It matches the Rfam family "Bacterial small subunit ribosomal RNA", at positions 338 to 795 of the family's 1533-position model. Lineage: Bacteria; Pseudomonadati; Bacteroidota; Chitinophagia; Chitinophagales; Chitinophagaceae. The record is from RNAcentral.
CCUACGGGCGGCUGCAGUAAGGAAUAUUGGUCAAUGGACGAAAGUCUGAACCAGCCAUGCCGCGUGGAGGAUGAAGGUCCUCUGGAUUGUAAACUUCUUUUAUCUGGGACGAAAAAGGGCCUUUCUAGGUCAACUGACGGUACCAGAUGAAUAAGCACCGGCUAACUCCGUGCCAGCAGCCGCGGUAAUACGGAGGGUGCAAGCGUUAUCCGGAUUCACUGGGUUUAAAGGGUGCGUAGGCGGACAGGUAAGUCAGUGGUGAAAUCUUCCCGCUUAACGGGAAAACUGCCAUUGAUACUCUCUGUCUUGAAUAUUGUGGAGGUGAGCGGAAUAUGUCAUGUAGCGGUGAAAUGCUUAGAUAUGACAUAGAACACCAAUUGCGAAGGCAGCUCACUACACAUAUAUUGACGCUGAGGCACGAAAGCGUGGGGAUCAAACAGGAUUAGAUACCCCUGUAGUC